Non-coding RNA from Prunus mume (Japanese apricot), 253 nucleotides. NCBI's taxonomy places the organism in Eukaryota, Viridiplantae, Streptophyta, Magnoliopsida, Rosales, Rosaceae. The record is from RefSeq and is a predicted model, not a curated record.
CCCAAUCGAACCACCGCCGCUUCCUCUUCCAAGUCCAACCAAGCUCAGCCGUCACCACCGCCAGCAGCCACCGGAAAACGCAGAAAAUCGCGGGGUUUUGACAGAUUUUCUCAUCGCUCGUUCUCCCUCGAUUCUCCACCAAAUCGGACAAGUGAGGCACUCGGGCACCAGUUGACCCGCAGGAGGGACCUUCCAAGGGUCCAGCGAGCUCGGACCAACCGCUGUAGACGUGCAUCCGAGAGCCACCACAGGG